Molecule: ribosomal RNA, 504 nt
Filed under: uncultured bacterium
Lineage: Bacteria
Description: partial 16S ribosomal RNA
Rfam family: Bacterial small subunit ribosomal RNA
Source: RNAcentral
AUUGAACGCUGGCGGCAUGCCUUACACAUGCAAGUCGAACGGCAGCAUAGAGAGCUUGCUCUCUGAUGGCGAGUGGCGAACGGGUGAGUAAAGCAUCGGAACGUACCGUGUAGUGGGGGAUAACGUAGCGAAAGUUACGCUAAUACCGCAUACGUACUGAGGUAGAAAGCAGGGGAUCGUAAGACCUUUCGCUAUACGAGCGGCCGAUGUCAGAUUAGCUAGUUGGUAGGGUAAAGGCCUACCAAGGCGACGAUCUGUAGCGGGUCUGAGAGGAUGAGCCGCCACACUGGGACUGAGACCCGGCCCAGACUCAUACGGGAGGCAGCAGUGGGGAAUUUUGGGCAAUGGGGGCAACCCUGAUCGAGCCAUGCCGCGUGAGUGAAGAAGGCCUUCGGGUUGUAAAGCUCUUUCGGCCGGGAAGAAAUCGCACAGGCUAAUACCCUGUGUGGAUGACGGUACCGGCAUAAGAAGCACCGGCUAACUACGUGCCAGCAGCCGCAGUAA